This 1027-nucleotide ribosomal RNA is filed under the name Exiguobacterium marinum. RNAcentral's name for it is "bacterial SSU rRNA". It matches the Rfam family "Bacterial small subunit ribosomal RNA", at positions 456 to 1533 of the family's 1533-position model. Lineage: Bacteria; Bacillati; Bacillota; Bacilli; Caryophanales. The record is from RNAcentral.
CAAUCGCCGCACCGUGAAGGUACCUUUCUAAAGUCAAGGCGAUUAAGUGCUAGCAGCCGCUGUAAUACGUAGUUGACAAAGAAAUAUCCAGCAUCUACUGGGGUAAAGGCGCGCGCCACGACUGCCUCUUAAUGUCUGAUGUGAAACCCCCUCGCUCUCAACCCGGGAGGGGCCCAUUGGAUAACUGUGAGCCUUGAUUUCGAAAAGACAACGCUAGCAUUUCCCACUGUUGCGGUGAAGCGGGGAGAAAACGGGGAGAAACACCAUUUGGAGACGGGCGACUCUUUGCCCUAUACUGACGUUGAGGCGAAAAAGUGUGGGCGCAAACCGGGUUAGAUACCCUGUAGUCCACGCCGUAAACGAUGAGUGAUAGGUGUUGGAGGGUCUCCGCCUCUCAGUGCUGAAGUUACCGCAUUAAGCACUCCGCGUGGGGAGUGGGUGUCGCAAGGCUGAAACUCAAAGGGAAUUGGCGGGGACCCGCCCAAGCGGUGGAGCAUGUGGUUUAAUUCGAAGCAACGCGAAGAACCUUACCAACUCUUGACAUCCCCCUCACCGCUACAGAGAUGUAUCUUCCCCUUCGGGGGCAGGGGUGACAGGUGGUGCAUGGUUGUCGUCAGCUCGUGUCGUGAGAUGUUGGGUUAAGUCCCGCAACGAGCGCAACCCUUGUCCUUAGUUGCCAGCAUUUGGUUGGGCACUCUAAGGAGACUGCCGGUGACAAACCGGAGGAAGGUGGGGAUGACGUCAAAUCAUCAUGCCCCUUAUGAGUUGGGCUACACACGUGCUACAAUGGACGGUACAAAGGGCAGCGAAGCCGCGAGGUGGAGCCAAUCCCAGAAAGCCGUUCUCAGUUCGGAUUGCAGGCUGCAACUCGCCUGCAUGAAGUCGGAAUCGCUAGUAAUCGCAGGUCAGCAUACUGCGGUGAAUACGUUCCCGGGUCUUGUACACACCGCCCGUCACACCACGAGAGUUAGCAGACACCUCAUGGUUCAGGAUAAGUCGUAACAAGGGAACCACGCAUUGGUGUACG